This 670-nucleotide ribosomal RNA is filed under the name uncultured bacterium. RNAcentral's name for it is "bacterial SSU rRNA". It matches the Rfam family "Bacterial small subunit ribosomal RNA", at positions 152 to 808 of the family's 1533-position model. The record is from RNAcentral.
GGAAACAGAUGCUAAUACCGCAUAACAAUUUGAAUCGCAUGAUUCAAAUUUAAAAGAUGGCUUCGGCUAUCACUUUGGGAUGGACCUGCGGCGCAUUAGCUUGUUGGUAGGGUAACGGCCUACCAAGGCUGUGAUGCGUAGCCGAGUUGAGAGACUGAUCGGCCACAAUGGAACUGAGACACGGUCCAUACUCCUACGGGAGGCAGCAGUAGGGAAUCUUCCACAAUGGGCGCAAGCCUGAUGGAGCAACACCGCGUGAGUGAAGAAGGGUUUCGGCUCGUAAAGCUCUGUUGUUAGAGAAGAACGUGCGUGAGAGCAACUGUUCACGCAGUGACGGUAUCUAACCAGAAAGUCACGGCUAACUACGUGCCAGCAGCCGCGGUAAUACGUAGGUGGCAAGCGUUAUCCGGAUUUAUUGGGCGUAAAGCGAGCGCAGGCGGUUUGAUAAGUCUGAUGUGAAAGCCUUUGGCUUAACCAAAGAAGUGCAUCGGAAACUGUCAGACUUGAGUGCAGAAGAGGACAGUGGAACUCCAUGUGUAGCGGUGGAAUGCGUAGAUAUAUGGAAGAACACCAGUGGCGAAGGCGGCUGUCUGGUCUGCAACUGACGCUGAGGCUCGAAAGCAUGGGUAGCGAACAGGAUUAGAUACCCUGGUAGUCCAUGCCGUAAACG